RNAcentral lists this ribosomal RNA (1372 nucleotides) under uncultured bacterium. Its description in RNAcentral is "bacterial SSU rRNA". It matches the Rfam family "Bacterial small subunit ribosomal RNA", at positions 28 to 1381 of the family's 1533-position model. The record is from RNAcentral.
GAUGAACGCUGGCGGCGUGCCUAAUACAUGCAAGUCGAGCGAACGGACGAGAAGCUUGCUUCUCUGAUGUUAGCGGCGGACGGGUGAGUAACACGUGGAUAACCUACCUAUAAGGCUGGGAUAACUUCGGGAAACCGGAGCUAAUACCGGAUAAUAUUUUGAACCGCAUGGUUCAAAAGUGAAAGACGGUCUUGCUGUCACUUAUAGAUGGAUCCGCGCUGCAUUAGCUAGUUGGUAAGGUAACGGCUUACCAAGGCAACGAUGCAUAGCCGACCUGAGAGGGUGAUCGGCCACACUGGAACUGAGACACGGUCCAGACUCCUACGGGAGGCAGCAGUAGGGAAUCUUCCGCAAUGGGCGAAAGCCUGACGGAGCAACGCCGCGUGAGUGAUGAAGGUCUUCGGAUCGUAAAACUCUGUUAUUAGGGAAGAACAUAUGUGUAAGUAACUGUGCACAUCUUGACGGUACCUAAUCAGAAAGCCACGGCUAACUACGUGCCAGCAGCCGCGGUAAUACGUAGGUGGCAAGCGUUAUCCGGAAUUAUUGGGCGUAAAGCGCGCGUAGGCGGUUUUUUAAGUCUGAUGUGAAAGCCCACGGCUCAACCGUGGAGGGUCAUUGGAAACUGGAAAACUUGAGUGCAGAAGAGGAAAGUGGAAUUCCAUGUGUAGCGGUGAAAUGCGCAGAGAUAUGGAGGAACACCAGUGGCGAAGGCGACUUUCUGGUCUGUAACUGACGCUGAUGUGCGAAAGCGUGGGGAUCAAACAGGAUUAGAUACCCUGGUAGUCCACGCCGUAAACGAUGAGUGCUAAGUGUUAGGGGGUUUCCGCCCCUUAGUGCUGCAGCUAACGCAUUAAGCACUCCGCCUGGGGAGUACGACCGCAAGGUUGAAACUCAAAGGAAUUGACGGGGACCCGCACAAGCGGUGGAGCAUGUGGUUUAAUUCGAAGCAACGCGAAGAACCUUACCAAAUCUUGACAUCCUUUGACAACUCUAGAGAUAGAGCCUUCCCCUUCGGGGGACAAAGUGACAGGUGGUGCAUGGUUGUCGUCAGCUCAUGUCGUGAGAUGUUGGGUUAAGUCCCGCAACGAGCGCAACCCUUAAGCUUAGUUGCCAUCAUUAAGUUGGGCACUCUAAGUUGACUGCCGGUGACAAACCGGAGGAAGGUGGGGAUGACGUCAAAUCAUCAUGCCCCUUAUGAUUUGGGCUACACACGUGCUACAAUGGACAAUACAAAGGGCAGCGAAACCGCGAGGUCAAGCAAAUCCCAUAAAGUUGUUCUCAGUUCGGAUUGUAGUCUGCAACUCGACUACAUGAAGCUGGAAUCGCUAGUAAUCGUAGAUCAGCAUGCUACGGUGAAUACGUUCCCGGGUCU